GACAGAGGGUGCAAACGUUGCUCGGAAUUACUGGGCGUAAAGCGCGUGUAGGUGGUCACGCAAGUCAGGUGUGAAAGCCCAGGGCUCAACCCUGGAAGUGCACAUGAUACUACGUGGCUGGAGUACUGAAGAGGAGAGCGGAAUUCCCGGUGUAGAGGUGAAAUUCGUAGAUAUCGGGAAGGAACACCAGUGGCGAAGGGCGGCUCUCUGGGCAGAUACUGACACUGAGACGCGAAAGCGUGGGUAGCAACAGG
Molecule: ribosomal RNA, 254 nt
Filed under: uncultured bacterium
Lineage: Bacteria
Description: partial 16S ribosomal RNA
Rfam family: Bacterial small subunit ribosomal RNA
Source: RNAcentral